AUUGAACGCUGGCGGCAUGCCUUACACAUGCAAGUCGAACGGCAGCACGGGUGCUUGCACCUGGUGGCGAGUGGCGAACGGGUGAGUAAUACAUCGGAACAUGUCCUGUAGUGGGGGAUAGCCCGGCGAAAGCCGGAUUAAUACCGCAUACGAUCUACGGAUGAAAGCGGGGGACCUUCGGGCCUCGCGCUAUAGGGUUGGCCGAUGGCUGAUUAGCUAGUUGGUGGGGUAAAGGCCUACCAAGGCGACGAUCAGUAGCUGGUCUGAGAGGACGACCAGCCACACUGGGACUGAGACACGGCCCAGACUCCUACUGGAGGCAGCAGUGGGGAAUUUUGGACAAUGGGCGAAAGCCUGAUCCAGCAAUGCCGCGUGUGUGAAGAAGGCCUUCGGGUUGUAAAGCACUUUUGUCCGGAAAGAAAUCCUUGGCCCUAAUACGGUCGGGGGAUGACGGUACCGGAAGAAUAAGCACCGGCUAACUACGUG
RNAcentral lists this ribosomal RNA (486 nucleotides) under uncultured bacterium. RNAcentral's name for it is "partial 16S ribosomal RNA". It matches the Rfam family "Bacterial small subunit ribosomal RNA", at positions 30 to 507 of the family's 1533-position model. The record is from RNAcentral.